This 442-nucleotide ribosomal RNA is filed under the name uncultured beta proteobacterium. RNAcentral's name for it is "bacterial SSU rRNA". It matches the Rfam family "Bacterial small subunit ribosomal RNA", at positions 38 to 473 of the family's 1533-position model. Lineage: Bacteria; Pseudomonadati; Pseudomonadota; Betaproteobacteria. The record is from RNAcentral.
GGCGGCAUGCCUUACACAUGCAAGUCGAACGGCAGCACGGGGGUAACCCUGGUGGCGAGUGGCGAACGGGUGAGUAAUACAUCGGAACGUGUCCUGUAGUGGGGGAUAGCCCGGCGAAAGCCGGAUUAAUACCGCAUACGAUCUACGGAAGAAAGCGGGGGAUCCUUCNGGACCUCGCGCUAUAGGGGCGGCCGAUGGCAGAUUAGCUAGUUGGUGGGGUAAAGGCCUACCAAGGCGACGAUCUGUAGCUGGUCUGAGAGGACGACCAGCCACACUGGGACUGAGACACGGCCCAGACUCCUACGGGAGGCAGCAGUGGGGAAUUUUGGACAAUGGGGGAAACCCUGAUCCAGCAAUGCCGCGUGUGUGAAGAAGGCCUUCGGGUUGUNAAGCACUUUUGUCCGGAAAGAAAACUUCUGCCCUAAUACGGUGGGAGGAUGAC